UGAUCAAGUCAUGGCCAGCCAAACUCAGGCCCCUGACUGCGUGCCCAGCCUGCGCUUUGAUGACCAGCCAGUGGUGUGCUAGACGGAUGGGGAGGUAAUACCUUUUAUGGGACCAGUUUCUACUGGUGAAAGAGCCCCGCUUUCCAGCCACACAGCGCUCAGGACCAUAUAGAUCAAUGGUUGGACUCAAACAAACAAGAUAGUGUGCUUCAGAAACUUACUGGAGGUGAUCUAUGAGCCGGAAUAUGAACACAUCAACACUGACCAAAAUGAAGGCACAGUUAUAACAUACAGGAGACAUGCAGAAUCAAUGGUGGAAUGCGAAAGUAGAUGACAUCCAGGGCUAUGAUGACUGUCAUGAGACCUAAGACUUCUAUGCUGCAUUGAAAGUUGUAUAUGGUUCUACACAUACCACUACAGUGCCUUUGAAGAGUGUGGACAGCCUAACAAUAGUCACUGACAAAGGAGAAAUCCUUCAGAGGUGGCGACAGCAUUUCAGUGAUCUUUUUCCCAUACCGACCAACAUCACAAACGAGGCACUAGAUGAAGUCAAUGCUGCAAUCAGUGCCAUGAAGAACUGCAG
Molecule: long non-coding RNA, 583 nt
Organism: Mauremys reevesii (Reeves's turtle)
Lineage: Eukaryota; Metazoa; Chordata; Testudines; Geoemydidae
Exons: 3
Source: RefSeq, a predicted model, not a curated record